AACAUGUUUUUGAAUUCAGUUUAACAGUAUAUUACUGGGAAGGGGGGGGAAAUGAGAGAUUUUUAAAACUGGAACUUUCAUGUUAGCUAAAACUGUUAGUAAUAGCUUAUUUUUUAAAAAAACCACAACCCCCACCACCCCGUGCCCCCAGUCUGCAUUCAUGGAAACCAAAUCACAGAUGAAGAUCCUGGUGAGUCUGAGAUUGGGCAUCAGCCCCAGGGUGCUUGGAAACUGUCGCGGAUAUAACCAGAGGCAGAGAGGACAAGGGAGCAGGAAACCUCAGCCUCCAGCCAUGGAGGUGUCCCUACUGCACAGGAAAACGGGGCUCCACAGGUUCUCCUCAGACACCAAGAGAAAAACCUUCCAUCUAGUCUGCAAAACAAGCGCUCCUCGUUCUGACUUUUUAACUUUCUGUUUUCUUGUUUGCACUUUGAAGCCCUCACUACCCGCUCCACACACACACCCCAACCCUGAACUCUGGGGGGCUGGGGAAGGCAAGAAAUACAAAC
Molecule: long non-coding RNA, 509 nt
Filed under: Marmota monax (woodchuck)
Lineage: Eukaryota; Metazoa; Chordata; Mammalia; Rodentia; Sciuridae
Source: RNAcentral